GACGAACGCUGGCGGCGGGCUUAACACAUGCAAGUCGAACGGAAAGGCCCUGCUUUUGUGGGGUGCCCGAGGGGCGAACGGGGGAGUAACACGUGAGUAACCUGCCCUUGACUUUGGGAUAACUUCAGGAAACUGGGGCUAAUACCGGAUAGGAGCUCCUGCUGCAUGGUGGGGGGUGGAAAGUUUCGGCGGGUGGGGAUGGACGCGCGGCUUAUCAGCUUGUUGGUGGGGUAGUGGCUUACCAAGGCUUUGACGGGUAGCCGGCCUGAGAGGGUGACCGGCCACCUUGGGCCUGCGAUACGGCCCAGACUCCUACGGUGGGCAGCGGUCGGGAGUCUUGCCCAGUGGGCGCACGCCUGAUGCAGCGGCGCCGCGGGCGGGAUGCCGGCCUUCUGGUUGUGAACCGCUUUCGGCUGUGACGAAGCGUGAGUGACGGUAAUGGGUAAAUAAGCACCGGCUAACUACGUG
RNAcentral lists this ribosomal RNA (468 nucleotides) under uncultured bacterium. Its description in RNAcentral is "partial 16S ribosomal RNA". It matches the Rfam family "Bacterial small subunit ribosomal RNA", at positions 28 to 507 of the family's 1533-position model. The record is from RNAcentral.